CAAUCCAGCCACACCCACAGAACACCUGCAGCCCAAACCCCAAACACGGACAGAGCAAGAACCCAGCAGGAGCAGGGUCUCUGCGCUCGCUCUUUCAGUGUUGAUCCCUCAUCCUCACAAUGACCCAUGUUCCAGAACGGCCCGUCCUGAAGAAGCUGAGGCCAGUGUCCAGUGCGGUCUUUGUCAUCCUCUGCGUUUCGCUGCUGCUCUUGAUCUUCAGGGCAGACGGGAUGUUGCAGCUCCGGGUUCUGUCAUACAUCUUGCAGCCAUCCGUCCAGCCCGCUGUGCCUCACAACAAGACUUCAGGAGAUGCAGUUGUGAAAGGACCACCAGCCCAUCUGCUGAGAGUCAAUGGCUCAAAAACACUGCUGGUGUCUGCUUUUCUGGAGCAUCGAACGGCACAAAAGAAGGUCCUCGUUAUUUCUAUAAUGUUUCGGGAGGAGAAACUUGCCCUUCAGUGCAACCUCCGCUGUCAGGAGAAGCUUUACGUCUCCAAAGCUGUCAUAGAAAUCCACUGGGACCACUUUGGCUUUCCUUACGGGACAGCAGACAUCUUCUGUCCGCUCCCUUCAGGCUGUGAGACACCGACGCAUGUGGCCAUCACCUCAGCAGGAACCAACAACACAGAUGAAUCUGACCUUGUGUUUUUGGAGGUUGAGAAUCAAAGAACGCUGAACAUCUUUCCUUACAACUUCACCAGCUGUUUCUCCACCAUGUAUAACUACACCAACAUCCUGCAGCUGGUGCAGAGUUUGGAGAUGCUUCAGUUUCUGGGAGUGAACAGAGUCGUGGUCUACAAGACGAACUGCAGCGCCGAUGCACAACGCGUCCUGGACUACUACUCAGGCAAAGGUUUAGUGGAGGUGAUUCCUUGGUCUUUGUCGAAGUACCUGAAUGUGUCUCGAAAAGCUUUGCCUACAGAAGAUCCUGGUGACAUCCACUACUUCGGUCAGAUCCCUGCUCUCAAUGACUGCCUCUACAGAUACAUGUACCGGUCCAGAUACUUGGCCCUGCACGACCCUGAUGAGCUCAUCCUGCCCCUGUCAGUCUACAGCUGGUUGGAGCUGCUGCCUCUUCUGGAGAAGGACUACGGUGCCGACGGCUGUUACCAGUUUGAGAACAACUACUUCCCCAGUGAAUUUACGCUGCCCCCUCCCGCCCCCGUUACGCUACCGCCACUAGAGCAGUGGCAGAAUGUAACCGGGGUGAACAUCCUGACUCACCUGUACAGUGAACCUGUCAAGCCUAAACCUGCAUUUAACAACUUCAAGAUCAUCACCAACCCUCGUUCUGUGUUCGCUGUAACUGUUCACGGCGUGUUGAAGUCACAGAAGGUCUGCGCCUGGGUUGACAGGAAGAUGGCCCGAAUAUACCACGUUAGACCUCGAGGACAAAUUGAUGUGAAGCCGCAGCAGCUGAUUUAUGACGGCAGACUGCUGAGCUACAGCAGCCGCCUCACGUCUGCCGUCAAUGCUGUUCUCAGAGAGACUGGACUCCUCCCUGAAGACGGCAUGAACUAGACUCUGUUUCCACCUCAGAGACACUUUGCUUUGUGAGAAAGGAGGAGCUUGAAUCAAUUCAUAGAGACAGGAUGUUUAUUUUUUUACAGUGUUGGAAAGAGGCUUUAUCAUAAAGACACAAUAGUGGAUAGUCUCUGUUUAUGGUUCAGGACGUUCUGAGGACGUUGAUCAAGAUUACUAAACUGAGAAAGAGAUGUCUGAGGCUGAUAUGACAGAUGACCUAAGACACAGGGGUAAAGGUCCUGCAGCUUUUAGACGUCUCUGGUCCAGCACACCUGAAUCAAAUGGCUGAAUUACCUCCUCAGCUGGCAGUCAAGUUACCCAGAGUCCUGCUGAUGACCUGAUUAUGUGACUCAGCACCAGUCCUCUAGACGCACCAAUGUUGGGGACAGCCGGAUCACUUUUUCCACCCACCGACUAAAGAGGACAUGAAGACGUGCCAUCACCCCACUGUGCUUUGACACAUUAAAUACA
RNA transcript from Fundulus heteroclitus (mummichog), 1994 nucleotides. RefSeq lists it as uncharacterized. The record is from RefSeq and is a predicted model, not a curated record. NCBI's taxonomy places the organism in Eukaryota, Metazoa, Chordata, Actinopteri, Cyprinodontiformes, Fundulidae. The transcript is spliced from 11 exons.